This 497-nucleotide ribosomal RNA is filed under the name uncultured bacterium. RNAcentral describes it as "partial 16S ribosomal RNA". It matches the Rfam family "Bacterial small subunit ribosomal RNA", at positions 28 to 507 of the family's 1533-position model. The record is from RNAcentral.
GAUGAACGCUGGCGGCGUGCCUAAUACAUGCAAGUCGAGCGAACAGACGAGGAGCUUGCUCCUCUGACGUUAGCGGCGGACGGGUGAGUAACACGUGGAUAACCUACCUAUAAGACUGGGAUAACUUCGGGAAACCGGAGCUAAUACCGGAUAAUAUAUUGAACCGCAUGGUUCAAUAGUGAAAGACGGUUUUGCUGUCACUUAUAGAUGGAUCCGCGCCGCAUUAGCUAGUUGGUAAGGUAACGGCUUACCAAGGCAACGAUGCGUAGCCGACCUGAGAGGGUGAUCGGCCACACUGGUACUGAGACACGGUCCAGACUCCUACGGGAGGCAGCAGUAGGGAAUCUUCCGCAAUGGGCGAAAGCCUGACGGAGCAACGCCGCGUGAGUGAUGAAGGUCUUCGGAUCGUAAAACUCUGUUAUUAGGGAAGAACAAAUGUGUAAGUAACUAUGCGCGUCUUGACGGUACCUAAUCAGAAAGCCACGGCUAACUACGUG